GCAUUGGCUGAGUAAUUCAAAAGAGUGAUUGAAGACUGGAAAGUACCUUAACAGAUAACUUGGGAGAUUUCUAAUGCCUGGAGGCUGCUCCGUCUAUCCAAGUGGGAGCUGCAAGCAAGUCCUGCCUCCUCUCCGCCAUCUUAACCCCUCAACCAGUAAAUGUUUAAAGACACAAAUCUCAAGCCCUCUCAGUCUCCACUCUUCAAAAGUCCGUCCUUUCCUGACUUUACGUGGCAGAAAGACAAUCUGCCUUGCAGCAAGUUUAUGGAUAACACGGAGUUCCCCUGCAAUGAAUAUGUGAACCCUCUGUUCUUCAGGAUAGCACUUGGGAUGAUGUGGAGUUGCUCAGGCCAGGACCUCCAGUACCAUACUGAAUUGAAAUGCCAGCUGAAACUUACUGAAGCAACAGAAAAAUGGAGACAUAACAAACAUGAGGUGUGAGCAAUAUAAAUGAGUGAUGUAUUUUGGGAAAAAAAAAAAGCUUGUAAGUAUUGACAUUUAAUGAAGAUUCCUGCU
RNAcentral lists this long non-coding RNA (516 nucleotides) under Homo sapiens (human). RNAcentral describes it as "HSALNT0147685". The record is from RNAcentral. Lineage: Eukaryota; Metazoa; Chordata; Mammalia; Primates; Hominidae.